CCUACGGGGGGCUGCAGUGAGGAAUAUUGGUCAAUGGGCGCGAGCCUGAACCAGCCAAGCCGCGUGAAGGAUGACUGCCCUAGGGGUGGUAAACUUCUUUUAUAAAGGAAUAAAGUGAGGCACGUGUGCCUUUUUGAAUGUACUCUAAGAAUAAGGAUCGGCUAACUCCGUGCCAGCAGCCGCGGUAAUACGGAGGAUCCGAGCGUUAUCCGGAUUUAUUGGGUUUAAAGGGAGCGUAGAGGGGUUGUUAAGUCAGUUGUGAAAGUUUGGGGCUCAACCGAAAGAUUGCAUUUGAUACUGGCAGUCUUGAGUACAGUAGAGGUAGGCGGAAUUCGUGGUGUAGCGGUGAAAUGCUUAGAUAUCAUGAAGAACUCCGAUGGCGAAGGCAGCUUACUAGACUGCCACUGACGUUGAUGCUCGAAAGUGUGGGUAUCAAACAGGAUUAGAUACCCCUGUAGUC
RNAcentral lists this ribosomal RNA (460 nucleotides) under uncultured bacterium. RNAcentral's name for it is "partial 16S ribosomal RNA". It matches the Rfam family "Bacterial small subunit ribosomal RNA", at positions 338 to 795 of the family's 1533-position model. The record is from RNAcentral.